GAAUUAUGUUAGCUUAAGCGGAUACAGUUAAUCAUUAAUUAAUAGACAGUUCACAAACACUUUGCCAGCUAUAUGUCUUUGUAGAUUUAUUUAAUUGACUGAGAUAAUACCAGAAUGUUCAAAAAUAAAUAAUAUAUAUAUUCGCUAAAAUAUUGUGCUUUAUUAGAGCUGCCUUUGUUUUAAAACAAAAAAAGAA
Molecule: long non-coding RNA, 196 nt
Organism: Spea bombifrons (plains spadefoot toad)
Lineage: Eukaryota; Metazoa; Chordata; Amphibia; Anura; Pelobatidae
Exons: 2
Source: RefSeq, a predicted model, not a curated record